Mya arenaria is the source of this 442-nucleotide long non-coding RNA. RefSeq lists it as uncharacterized. The transcript has 3 exons. Lineage: Eukaryota; Metazoa; Mollusca; Bivalvia; Myida; Myidae. The record is from RefSeq and is a predicted model, not a curated record.
CUAGCGGCAUCAACAUCUGUCUCGAACUCUUUUUUGUCUCCCGAAUACUUUGCCCUGAGGUUUUGCGAAUGAGAAAGCCUUGAAGAAUGGCGACACUUGCUACGCAGUUGGAUUUUGCCUGGUAUCUAAAGAUGGAUUGUGGCACUGGCCAGUCAUGUGUGCUAGGUCGAAUGGGAUCUCUGUGCAAGUCGGCUACAUCUACUUCGUAUCACUGGACUGUGAAACGGGACUUUCUGUCUUCUACCGAACACAGAAACUAAAAAGGUUUUACAACAUGCUAGUGGAACUGCUGGCGAGCCAGUAAAACCUGGUUGCAAGGGCUUAGUUUUCUACGGGGCCAUCUUAUUUACUCAUGUAUCGUAAAGUUUUUUUCGAAUUAAUAUAUCUUAGUAGUUAUACUAUCUGUUUCGAAACUAAAAUACUAAUUGGUCAGUUAAGGCAA